ACGGAGGGUGCGAGCGUUAAUCGGAAUUACUGGGCGUAAAGGGUUCGUAGGUGGUUAGAUAAGUCAGAUGUGAAAGCCCUGGGCUCAACCUAGGAACUGCAUUUGAUACUGUUUAACUAGAGUUUACUAGAGGAUUGGGGAAUUUCCGGUGUAGCGGUGAAAUGCGUAGAGAUCGGAAGGAACAUCAAUGGCGAAGGCAACAAUCUGGGGUUGAACUGACACUGAGGGACGAAAGCGUGGGUAGCAAACAGG
Molecule: ribosomal RNA, 252 nt
Filed under: uncultured bacterium
Lineage: Bacteria
Description: partial 16S ribosomal RNA
Rfam family: Bacterial small subunit ribosomal RNA
Source: RNAcentral